CCUACGGGUGGCAGCAGUAGGGAAUCUUCGACAAUGGACGAAAGCCUGAUCGAGCAACGCCGCGUGGGUGAAGAAGGUCUUCGGAUCGUAAAACCCUGUUGUUAGAGAAGAACGUGCGUGAGAGUAACUGUUCACGUUUCGACGGUAUCUAACCAGAAAGCCACGGCUAACUACGUGCCAGCAGCCGCGGUAAUACGUAGGUGGCAAGCGUUGUCCGGAUUUAUUGGGCGUAAAGGGAACGCAGGCGGUUUGUUAAGUCUGAUGUGAAAGCCCUCGGCUUAACCGGGGUAGUUCAUUGGAAACUGGGAGACUUGAGUGCAGAAGAGGAGAGUGGAACUCCAUGUGUAGCGGUGAAAUGCGUAGAUAUAUGGAAGAACACCAGUGGCGAAAGCGGCUCUCUGGUCUGUAACUGACGCUGAGGCUCGAAAGCGUGGGGAGCAAACAGGAGUAGAUACCCUUGUAGUC
This 465-nucleotide ribosomal RNA is filed under the name uncultured bacterium. RNAcentral describes it as "partial 16S ribosomal RNA". It matches the Rfam family "Bacterial small subunit ribosomal RNA", at positions 338 to 795 of the family's 1533-position model. The record is from RNAcentral.